RNAcentral lists this non-coding RNA (26 nucleotides) under Homo sapiens (human). Lineage: Eukaryota; Metazoa; Chordata; Mammalia; Primates; Hominidae. The record is from RNAcentral.
UGUUAAGCCCUGUGCCACUGAGAGAU